RNAcentral lists this ribosomal RNA (472 nucleotides) under uncultured Sulfurihydrogenibium sp. RNAcentral describes it as "bacterial SSU rRNA". It matches the Rfam family "Bacterial small subunit ribosomal RNA", at positions 39 to 530 of the family's 1533-position model. Lineage: Bacteria; Pseudomonadati; Aquificota; Aquificia; Aquificales; Hydrogenothermaceae. The record is from RNAcentral.
GCGGCGUGCCUAACACAUGCAAGNNGUGGGGCAGCAGGCUACUGUCUUUUGGCAGUAGUGCUGGCGACCGGCAAACGGGUGAGUAACACGUAGCUUACCUACCCAUAGGUUGGGGAUAACAUCCCGAAAGGGGUGCUAAUACCCAAUAAUGAGGAGACUCCAAAGCCCUUAUGGGCGCCUAUGGAUGGGGCUGCGUCCCAUCAGCUAGUUGGUGAGGUAAUGGCUCACCAAGGCUACGACGGGUAACCGGUCUGAGAGGAUGACCGGUCACAGUGGGACUGAGACACGGCCCGCACCCCUACGGGGGGCAGCAGUGGGGAAUAUUGGGCAAUGGCCGAAAGGCUGACCCAGCAACGCCGCGUGGCGGAUGAAGCCCUUCGGGGUGUAAACACCUUUUCUGGGGGAAGAUAAUGACGGUACCCCAGGAAUAAGGGACGGCUAACUACGUGCCAGCAGCCGCGGUAAUACGUAG